This 63-nucleotide transfer RNA is filed under the name Olidiana obliquea. RNAcentral's name for it is "tRNA-Asn". The record is from RNAcentral. Lineage: Eukaryota; Metazoa; Arthropoda; Insecta; Hemiptera; Cicadellidae.
AAAGUUUUAGUUUAAAUAAAAACUAUUCUUUGUCAGGGAAUUAAUAUAUAAUUAUAAACUUUU